CCUAAUACAUGCAAGUCGAGCGCAGGAAACUGACGGAACUCUUCGGAGGGAAGGCAGGGGAAUGAGCGGCGGACGGGUGAGUAACACGUAAGGAACCUGCCUCAAGGAUUGGGAUAACUCCGAGAAAUCGGAGCUAAUACCGGAUAGUUCAUCGGACCGCAUGGUCCGUUGAUGAAAGGCGCUCCGGCGUCACCUUGAGAUGGCCUUGCGGUGCAUUAGCUAGUUGGUGGGGUAACGGCCCACCAAGGCGACGAUGCAUAGCCGACCUGAGAGGGUGAUCGGCCACACUGGGACUGAGACACGGCCCAGACUCCUACGGGAGGCAGCAGUAGGGAAUCUUCCACAAUGGACGAAAGUCUGAUGGAGCAACGCCGCGUGAGUGAUGAAGGUUUUCGGAUCGUAAAACUCUGUUGUAAGGGAAGAACACGUACGAGAGGAAAUGCUCGUACCUUGACGGUACCUUACGAGAAAGCCACGGCUAACUACGUGC
RNAcentral lists this ribosomal RNA (490 nucleotides) under uncultured bacterium. RNAcentral's name for it is "bacterial SSU rRNA". It matches the Rfam family "Bacterial small subunit ribosomal RNA", at positions 47 to 508 of the family's 1533-position model. The record is from RNAcentral.